UAUUUUAAUAUUUAAAUUAAUUAAAAAUUAAACAUAAAUAAAUAAUUAUACAACCCAACCCGUGUGAAUUGAAAAAGAGUUGGGUUGUAUAAUUAUUUAUUUAUGUUUAAUUUUUAAUUAAUUUAAAUAUUAAAAUAGUGAAUAUUAAAAAAGAGUUACCCAAAAAAAAAAAAAGAAUUGAAAAAGAGCCCCACUCCUAUCAAGCGCUCUCUUACUCUCUCCGUGUUUAAAAAAAAAAAAAAAAGUAUUUAUUCUUAUUUAUUCUUAUUUUUCUCUCUUUUAUUUAUUCUCCUCUUCUGCAUCUUUUCUUUCUGUUCUGGUUUUUUUUUUUUUCUUUUUCCUCAAUUGUGAGGAGAGAUCCAGUAACCAACUGGCUUCAUCGCCACCAUUUUUUUGUGGGUCUCCACCAAGUAGGGCAUCAUACCCUGUAAUUCAAGAUGAGCAAUUUGGCAACAGUAGCAAGAUGGCUCCAUUUUUUCCAGCACCGCCUUCUUCAUUGUCUGAGCGCAACUAAGGGUGUGUUCGAAUGAAAACGAACUACGCCGAUUCAACACAGAUCAAGCGAUUUCUAAACACCCCAUAACAUCAUCAGCAAGUAAGAAAGCUACCCAAAUAGGAGCAGUAUCAUAAUUGCUACGAAUUGGACUCAGAUGGCGAAGAGAGAUGGUUCUGGGUUAUGCUGGUGGGUGGAUCGUUCUGAGAAGAAAUCCAGGAUGGAGCACUGGGCACUGUGUUUCGUCGAUUGGAUCUGUGGUGGGGUUAAGCGAUAAGGAAGUCGGACUCGCGUGUUCAAAACAGUGAGGGUGUGUUUGGUGUGCCUCACUAGACAGGACUAUGCUAAAUAAGCCUUGAAACCUAUGUUUGGUAAAAUGGGGAACUAAGUUAAAUGGGAUUGUGGAGUCCAAUAGUUAAAAAACCUCCUCACUCGCUCUCCUUAUACAGAGAGGCUGAAAUGCAGUUCGCAAAAUAGCGAGCGUGCUAUUUUGACGCGCAAGUCCGACUAAUCCAAUCGCAAGACCAAAUCCAUAUCCAAGCUUCAAGAAUCAAUUUCUUCUUCUUCUUCACCUAGAAUUAUCACCACCAUAAACCCAGUCACACCAACCAACCACCACCAAUUCAAACUCAACCACUUGAAUCAACCACCACCAAAUCAAACCCAGUGGAACCACAACCCAAUUGAACCUUUCGAAAAAUUACCAACCAUUGAUCGUGGCUCAGUGAAACCAAAUGGAGAUUUGUGACUUCGAAGAAGAUGAGGAUCUGUGACUUCAAAGGGAACAAGAGACCUUGGUUGCCAAUCACAAGUUUAAUCAUGGCCUCGAUGUUUUUGAAGAAACUCCUGCCUUCCUUAGAGCCAUUUUAGAUGUUGAUGCUCAAGGUCCUGCCAGACCUCCCCUUGUCAUAUUUAAUUGUUUUUGUUUUGGGGCGUUUACCCCCUCUGUAACGACAACAACAACAAAAAAAGGAAGGGGGGCGGGGGGAAGAAGGGGGAAGAAUAGAGAGAAAAUGAGAGGGAAGCAGAGAAAGGUUUGGGAGGGGAAUAUAAAAAAUAAAAAAAAAAGGGAUAC
Molecule: long non-coding RNA, 1568 nt
Organism: Prunus persica (peach)
Lineage: Eukaryota; Viridiplantae; Streptophyta; Magnoliopsida; Rosales; Rosaceae
Exons: 2
Source: RefSeq, a predicted model, not a curated record